CAGGAUCUAAGUGUCUUUAUUUCCGAGCAAUCCUGAGGUCCACCAUCCAUGAACCAGACAGAGACUAAUGGAGCCAAGUGAGGCUUGUGUGCCUUGCGUUGAUGUCUGGGUCUCCUGAUCACAGAUAGAGGAAUAUCUGUCAGCAUCAUGUUCUUGGGGAGCAGGCAAGAUCCCUCUUCCUUCAGCCACUUCCUGCUGCUAGGCACUGGGACACAGUCCCUGCUCUCUGAGCUCAGUGGACACACAUGCCACCAGAUCACUGCAGCCCCAGGUUAUAGCUGCGUGGUGCUUGUGUGAGUUGUGUGAGCGCAGAGGAGACAAGGGUUGGUUUUCCUUGAAGUGGACUGCCAUGUGCUCAUCACAGAAAACCCAUGUUCAGCAGAACCAGGGAUACUUGUCGUCAGGAAGGGUAUUCAAAGCCAAGGGACUUGCUUGCUGCCUUGCUCUCUCUCCCUAAAGGCUAGAGGCACAAAGGGGCCAGUUUGGGAAACAGAGCUGGUAUGUAUGAGUUCUUUCUGGUGCCCCAGGGCCCAAAGACUGCACAGAGUUCCUCCUGCAGAUUUAGGGAAAUGGAGCAGGAGGAUAGAAGAAAAAUUUGGUGGUUGAAGGGUGGUCCACAGAGCUCAGAGGGCUUAUACCCCCCUUCUCUCAAUAAGAGAAGCUAAUAGGGCGGUCCUGCAGCUUUGUGGGGAUUAGGCACAGCGACAUGACAGAAAGGAUAAAAGAGAAUCCACGUUGGAAAGGAAAUCCCUGGGCUGAGCCCUGCUUCCACUCCCUACAGGCAGCAAUAAGGACUGACUCCCUGGAUGUGCAGGGCCUGGGUAGCCGGGAAGACCUGUUGUCAGAGGUGAGUGGGCCCUCCUGCCCUCUGACCCGGUCCUCAUCCUUCUGGGGCGGGUCGAGCAUCCAGGUGCAGCAGCGUUCCGGCAUCCAGAGCAAAGUCUCCAAGCACAUCCGCCUGCCAGCCCCUUGCCCAGGCCUGGAA
This 985-nucleotide long non-coding RNA is filed under the name Rattus norvegicus (Norway rat). RNAcentral describes it as "long non-coding RNA NONRATT005893". Lineage: Eukaryota; Metazoa; Chordata; Mammalia; Rodentia; Muridae. The record is from RNAcentral.